CGUUGACAAGGCUGACACCACCAAUCAGCUUCGGCUCAGCAAGGUCACUGUUCAGACUUGACUCGUGAUUGGCUGCUGCGCUUCAGCGUGUUAUUACUGUCUGAUUUGAUCGGAGGCAGGGGGUGGUCUCCAAUCAAACAGAGAAAAGGUCCUGGAGAAGAUGUAUCUUUAAAGCUGUCUUGCUGAAUUGGAAGUCCCUGGAGGGCAGAACUGGCACCCUGUUCAAUCUGGAAUGCCCAGAAAUUCAAUCAACAGAAGUCAGUAUUGAUUUCACACCCUCCUGGACCCCUAUUUGAGUCUCUGUGUGGUGGCCCCUCUCCCCGGAAGUGAAGUCUUCCAGACUAUGAGUUGCUUUGGUCAGAGUUAUUGGAAUGAGAAGAGAGAAUUUGCCUUUUAAUUGGUCUUUUCCAGACUUCUGGUGAGAUUCCUAACACUACCAACCUCAGGAGUACAGAGCCCAGAGAAAGUCCAUUGGGGUCCAUUUUCAGGAUGGUGCAUAUGGGAACAAUAAUUUAUGAACGGUAAUAAGAGUUGGGGAUGCAAUUCCCUGCCCAACAUCAGGAUAAGUGUACCCCACUGAUUACCGAAUGCACAGAAAAUCCUUGACUAAAUAAGAUAAAAGCAGUCUGCACUUCUUGUUUAUAAGUUGGCAUUUUUCAAAAGCAAUUGAAAAAAAAAGAGAACAUGAAAAUCUCAAUGAAGAAAUAUGUUUUAAGAAACAUAUAUAUUUUUUAAGAGGUAUAGAUGUGGGGGGUUGGCAGUGAAAAAUCAUCUGAGCUUUUCCACACAGGGGAUGGAAAAAUUAGCUUGCACUGCUGUGUGAUGCUGCUGUGAAUUUGCCUCCUCGCUAGCUGUGGAUUUUCCCCUCGAGGGAUCUGAAAAUGUAUCACGUUUUAUUAAUUUAUUGGCUCUGCACCGAGGUGUAUUGUAAGCCAACUUUAAGUACUUAAUUUUGGUAUUUAUUCACUGCUCAUAAAAAGAGGCAGCUUUCCUGACAAACCCUGAGGAUAUCUAUAAUCAACCAGGGAUAAGAAAUCUAAACACAUUUCAAUAUGCUAUUUGUACUUAUUUUUAAAUUCAUUGGUGGGUGGUUGGGUAGUGGUGAUUGUGUGUGUGUCCAUGUUUGUGUGCUUGUGUUUGUGUGUAU
This 1147-nucleotide long non-coding RNA is filed under the name Mus spicilegus (steppe mouse). Its description in RNAcentral is "lncRNA (ENSMSIG00000015017.1)". Lineage: Eukaryota; Metazoa; Chordata; Mammalia; Rodentia; Muridae. The record is from RNAcentral.